This 253-nucleotide ribosomal RNA is filed under the name uncultured bacterium. RNAcentral describes it as "partial 16S ribosomal RNA". It matches the Rfam family "Bacterial small subunit ribosomal RNA", at positions 524 to 776 of the family's 1533-position model. The record is from RNAcentral.
UACAGAGGGGGCAAGCGUUGUUCGGAAUUACUGGGCGUAAAGCGCGCGCAGGCGGCUAUCCAAGUCAGUGGUGAAAGCCCGGAGCUCAACUCCGGAACUGCCAUUGAAACUGUUUAGCUUGAGGACGAGAGAGGUGAGUGGAAUUCCCGGCGUAGCAGUGAAAUGCGUAGAGAUCGGGAGGAACAUCAGUUGCGAAGGCGGCUCUCUGGACCAGUACUGACGCUGAGGCACGAAAGCGUGGGGAGCAAACAGG